CAUGCACUGGUGGGGUCCCUCAGCCUGGUCUGCACCCUCUCACAAUCCAGGACCCCUUGGGGGAUGUCAGAGAGCUGGUUUCGGCCUGAUCCCCACAGGCCAGGCUGAGGGACCCCACCGAUGCACG
This 127-nucleotide microRNA precursor is filed under the name Myotis brandtii (Brandt's bat). RNAcentral's name for it is "mir-9193 microRNA precursor family". It matches the Rfam family "mir-9193 microRNA precursor family". Lineage: Eukaryota; Metazoa; Chordata; Mammalia; Chiroptera; Vespertilionidae. The record is from Rfam by way of RNAcentral.